RNAcentral lists this ribosomal RNA (425 nucleotides) under uncultured bacterium. RNAcentral describes it as "partial 16S ribosomal RNA". It matches the Rfam family "Bacterial small subunit ribosomal RNA", at positions 354 to 796 of the family's 1533-position model. The record is from RNAcentral.
GUGGGGAAUCUUGCGCAAUGGGCGAAAGCCUGACGCAGCCAUGCCGCGUGAAUGAUGAAGGUCUUAGGAUUGUAAAAUUCUUUCACCGGGGACGAUAAUGACGGUACCCGGAGAAGAAGCCCCGGCUAACUUCGUGCCAGCAGCCGCGGUAAUACGAAGGGGGCUAGCGUUGCUCGGAAUUACUGGGCGUAAAGGGCGCGUAGGCGGACAGUUUAGUCAGAGGUGAAAGCCCAGGGCUCAACCUUGGAAUUGCCUUUGAUACUGGCUGUCUUGAGUACGGGAGAGGUGAGUGGAACUCCGAGUGUAGAGGUGAAAUUCGUAGAUAUUCGGAAGAACACCAGUGGCGAAGGCGACUCACUGGCCGGUUACUGACGCUGAGGCGCGAAAGCGUGGGGAGCAAACAGGAUUAGAAACCCGGGUAGUCC